AAUCAACGCUGGCGGCGUGCCUAACACAUGCAAGUCGAACGCGAGGACCUCGCAAGAGGUUAGUAGAGUGGCAAACGGGUGAGUAACACGUGGGUGACCUGCCUUAGAGUGGGGGAUAACGUCCCGAAAGGGACGCUAAUACCGCAUAACAUCCUGCCUUUGAAGAGGUGGAGAUCAAAGCUGGGGACCGCAAGGCCUAGCGCUUAAAGAGGGGCCCGCGUCUGAUUAGCAGUUGGUGGGGUAAGUGGCUCACCAAGGCAACGAUCAGUAUCCGGCCUGAGAGGGCGGACGGACACACUGGGACUGAGACACGGCCCAGACUCCUACGGGAGGCAGCAGUGGGGAAUUGUUCGCAAUGGGCGCAAGCCUGACGA
Molecule: ribosomal RNA, 374 nt
Filed under: uncultured bacterium
Lineage: Bacteria
Description: bacterial SSU rRNA
Rfam family: Bacterial small subunit ribosomal RNA
Source: RNAcentral